GGGGCGUGGUGCGUUCGGUGAUGUUGGGUCUUGCUUACGCGUUGGCGUGUGAGAUGUGCUUCGGAUAUUUGUGUUUGCCGGCUCUCUGCUUUUGCAUCGAACGGUCUGCAUGUAUUCCUUGUCAGUUUUUGUUGUACGCCCUUGGUGUUUGUAUGUGGUUCCUGUUUUGCUUACCUUUGAAACGGUAUCCGCGUGGCUUGUUACGCUUGAUCCAUCCCCUGCCGUUGCACGGUCUUGUGGUGGCUUUUGUAGUUUUACGUAUGAGCCCUUUCUAGAUGUACUCGUAUGUAUGUCUAGGGAGGUGCCCAUGUAUUGACUGAAUCUUCGGACGCGGUGCUUGAGAUGAACUUUUGUGUUUUUUUCACAUUGUCCCUAAAUAAUGGUUGCCUUAAAUUAUGCCUGCUGUUCUGCACGUUUUGAUUGCCUCUCGUGGGCGCAAAGCUUGCAUUACGGCAGAGUCAUUAAUGGAUGC
RNAcentral lists this unclassified non-coding RNA (472 nucleotides) under Cicer judaicum. RNAcentral's name for it is "partial miscellaneous RNA". The record is from RNAcentral. Lineage: Eukaryota; Viridiplantae; Streptophyta; Magnoliopsida; Fabales; Fabaceae.